Long non-coding RNA from Drosophila santomea, 393 nucleotides. RefSeq lists it as uncharacterized. The record is from RefSeq and is a predicted model, not a curated record. The transcript is spliced from 3 exons. NCBI's taxonomy places the organism in Eukaryota, Metazoa, Arthropoda, Insecta, Diptera, Drosophilidae.
CAAAACAUUUUUACUUACAAUGUAAAAUAAUCCGGACGGGAGUCAAAACAAAAAGACAAACAUUAAGCUACAGCUCAGAAACCUGAUAGUUGUUUUGUAGCUUAAACGGAUAAAUAUCCGUGUGAAAUGACGUACCUCCUCGGUCUAUGUAUCCUUCAUACAAGAACUUUUUCAAGUGCUUCAGCUCCGCCACGGCAUUAAGGAUCCUCGGCGAUUGGCAACUGUCGUUGAGCUUCAGUUCAACCGAAAUUAGUUGGGACAGUGCUUCGCAAUCGAUUUGGCCAACAGAUCGCUCCAGGUGUCUGAUCCACAGCUAAAUUCCACAAUCGACGGGCCACAGUUCGCCAAUAGAACGCGAUAAAGCCGCACCGGAAAAUGUAUUUUUGGGGAGAA